CCAAUACUGAGAUUAUUCAACAGUUGCUAUUUUUAGACCUGUGACUUUAGUUGCAGUAUUUUUCUUUUCACGUUUGACCUCUUUGUUUAUUAAUGCAGGUACUCUGGAUUCUUCUGAUACUCACUUAAAAGUGUCCCUGGUGUCCAACAAUCGACAUCUGGAGUUUCGCUCUGAAUCCUGACCUCUUCCUUGUGUUUCUGUGACUCAUGGGGCCAUAAAUUGGUCACCAUGGCAACCAGCUGGAGGAUUGAAAAUCCCCCGUCUGACUUUCUGAGUGUUCACCAUCACUCUGCUCUGCAGCUGGUCUCCUUUUCCACAGUGCAGUGACACAGUGUUGAAG
This is a long non-coding RNA of Oreochromis niloticus (Nile tilapia), 340 nucleotides long. The record is from Ensembl. Lineage: Eukaryota; Metazoa; Chordata; Actinopteri; Cichliformes; Cichlidae.